RNAcentral lists this ribosomal RNA (459 nucleotides) under uncultured bacterium. RNAcentral's name for it is "bacterial SSU rRNA". It matches the Rfam family "Bacterial small subunit ribosomal RNA", at positions 28 to 495 of the family's 1533-position model. The record is from RNAcentral.
GACGAACGCUGGCGGCGUGCUUAACACAUGCAAGUGGAGCGACGAACCAGGCUUCGGCCUGGGGCAGAGCCGCGAACGGGUGAGUAACACGUGGGUAACGUGCCCCGAUGACCGGGACAACCCGAGGAAACUCGGGCUAAUACCGGAUAUGCCCCCUCACAUAUGUGAGGUGUGUAAAGGAAGCUUCGGCCUCCGCAUCGGGAUCGGCCCGGGUCCAUUAGCUUGUUGGUGAGGUAACGGCUCACCAAGGCUGCGAUGGAUAGCUGGUCUGAGGGGACGAUCAGCCACACUGGGACUGAGACACGGCCCAGACUCCUACGGGAGGCAGCAGUGGGGAAUCUUGCGCAAUGGGCGAAAGCCUGACGCAGCGACGCCGCGUGAGGGAUGACGGCCUUCGGGUUGUAAACCUCUUUCAGCUCCGACGAAGCGAAAGUGACGGUAGGAGCAGAAGAAGCACGG